RNAcentral lists this ribosomal RNA (862 nucleotides) under Streptococcus mutans. Its description in RNAcentral is "bacterial SSU rRNA". It matches the Rfam family "Bacterial small subunit ribosomal RNA", at positions 625 to 1484 of the family's 1533-position model. Lineage: Bacteria; Bacillati; Bacillota; Bacilli; Lactobacillales; Streptococcaceae. The record is from RNAcentral.
UUUGGAAACUGUGGGACUUGAGUGCAGAAGGGGAGAGUGGAAUUCCAUGUGUAGCGGUGAAAUGCGUAGAUAUAUGGAGGAACACCAGUGGCGAAAGCGGCUCUCUGGUCUGUCACUGACGCUGAGGCUCGAAAGCGUGGGUAGCGAACAGGAUUAGAUACCCUGGUAGUCCACGCCGUAAACGAUGAGUGCUAGGUGUUAGGCCCGUUUCCGCCGCUUAGUGCCGGAGCUAACGCAAUAAGCACUCCGCCUGGGGAGUACGGACCGCAAGAUUGAAACUCAAAGGAAUUGACGGGGGCCCGCACAAGCGGUGGAGCAUGUGGUUUAAUUCGAAGCAACGCGAAGAACCUUACCAGGUCUUGACAUCCCCAUGCUAUUCUUAAAAAUAGGAAUUUACUUCGGUACAUCAGAGACAGGUGGUGCAUGGUUGUCGUCAGCUCGUGUCGUGAGAUGUUGGGUUAAGUCCCGCAACGAGCGCAACCCUUAUUGUUAGUUGCCAUCAUUAAGUUGGGCACUCUAACGAGACUGCCGGUAAUAAACCGGAGGAAGGUGGGGAUGACGUCAAAUCAUCAUGCCCCUUAUGACCUGGGCUACACACGUGCUACAAUGGUCGGUACAACGAGUUGCGAGCCGGUGACGGCAAGCUAAUCUCUGAAAGCCGAUCUCAGUUCGGAUUGGAUGCUGCAACUCACCGCCAUGAAGUCGGAAUCGCUAGUAAUCGCGGAUCAGCACGCCGCGGUGAAUACUUUCCCGGGCCUUGUACACACCGCCCGUCACACCACGAGAGUUUGUAACACCCAAAGUCGGUGAGGUAACCUUUUAGGGGCCACCCGCCUAAGGUGGGAUGGAUGAUUGGGGUGAA